RNAcentral lists this ribosomal RNA (334 nucleotides) under uncultured eukaryote. RNAcentral's name for it is "partial 18S ribosomal RNA". It matches the Rfam family "Eukaryotic small subunit ribosomal RNA", at positions 1470 to 1796 of the family's 1831-position model. The record is from RNAcentral.
CCCUUAGAUGUCCGGGGCCGCACGCGCGCUACACUGAAGGAAACAGCGUGGCUUUCUCCCUGACCCGAAAGGGUUGGGAAACCCGUUGAAUCUCCUUCGUGAUAGGGAUUGGGGCUUGAAAUUGUUCCCCAUGAACGAGGAAUUCCCAGUAAGCGCGAGUCAUAAGCUCGCGUUGAUUACGUCCCUGCCCUUUGUACACACCGCCCGUCGCUACUACCGAUUGAACGGUUUAGUGAGGGCCUCGGAUUGGUCUCGGCCCGCUCUUUACCGGGCGGCGCCGUUGGUCGAGAAGACGCUCGAACUUGAUCGUUUAGAGGAAGUAAAAGUCGUAACA